GUUUCCAUUCCUUAUAGGCAAGCUACAAAC
Molecule: non-coding RNA, 30 nt
Filed under: Novibacillus thermophilus
Lineage: Bacteria; Bacillati; Bacillota; Bacilli; Caryophanales; Thermoactinomycetaceae
Source: RNAcentral